UGUCAUAGUUUUAUCUAUAGAUGCCUCUAAACCCAAAAUGUUACAAAUAUUGGGGAAGAUUUGUGUUCAUAUUAUGAGAUAUACAACUACAACAUAAGCUUUAAUUUGAAGAAUGGACUAUUUUUUUUUUUUUUGUAUUAUUUUUUGUUUGUGAGUGUGUUUUUUUAUUUUAAUUCUUUAGGUCGUAGUCCUGUCGAUAUAGCAAAGUACCAAUCAGAGAUUCAGAGCUAUAGAAUUAGUGAAAAAUAAUUUGAGCAUAUAGGAAUGAAAGAAAGGUAAGGUUGGGUGGUCCAAAUGUAAGCCAUUAUUGUUUGAAUGUUUGGUAUAAGAGGGGAACAAGGAGAAUAUCUAUUUGACGUUUGUAGUUACCAAUCAAUCUCUUGUCUUAUGUCGUUUCUAUCAUUUCCUAACUUAAGACUUGUG
Molecule: long non-coding RNA, 423 nt
Filed under: Capsella rubella
Lineage: Eukaryota; Viridiplantae; Streptophyta; Magnoliopsida; Brassicales; Brassicaceae
Description: long non-coding RNA (CRUB_LNC004045)
Source: RNAcentral